CGGAGUUACAAAGGACGACAUUAGACGAAUCAUCUGGAAAGAUGAAUCAAAGAAGGUAAUAAUCCUGUAGUCGAAAAUGUUGUCUCUCUUGAGUGGAUCCUGAGUACGACGGAGCACGUGAAAUUCCGUCGGAAUCUGGGAGGACCAUCUCCUAAGGCUAAAUACUCUCUAGUGACCGAUAGUGAACCAGUACCGUGAGGGAAAGGUGAAAAGCACCCCGGAAGGGGAGUGAAAUAGAACCUGAAACCGUGUGCUUACAAGUAGUCAGAGCCCGUUAAUGGGUGAUGGCGUGCCUUUUGUAGAAUGAACCGGCGAGUUACGAUUUGAUGCAAGGUUAAGCAGUAAAUGUGGAGCCGUAGCGAAAGCGAGUCUGAAUAGGGCGUUUAGUAUUUGGUCGUAGACCCGAAACCAGGUGAUCUACCCUUGGUCAGGUUGAAGUUCAGGUAACACUGAAUGGAGGACCGAACCGACUUACGUUGAAAAGUGAGCGGAUGAACUGAGGGUAGCGGAGAAAUUCCAAUCGAACCUGGAGAUAGCUGGUUCUCUCCGAAAUAGCUUUAGGGCUAGCCUCAAGUGAUGAUUAUUGGAGGUAGAGCACUGUUUGGACGAGGGGCCCCUCUCGGGUUACCGAAUUCAGACAAACUCCGAAUGCCAAUUAAUUUAACUUGGGAGUCAGAACAUGGGUGAUAAGGUCCGUGUUCGAAAGGGAAACAGCCCAGACCACCAGCUAAGGUCCCAAAAUAUAUGUUAAGUGGAAAAGGAUGUGGCGUUGCCCAGACAACUAGGAUGUUGGCUUAGAAGCAGCCAUCAUUUAAAGAGUGCGUAAUAGCUCACUAGUCGAGUGACACUGCGCCGAAAAUGUACCGGGGCUAAACAUAUUACCGAAGCUGUGGAUUGUCCUUUGGACAAUGGUAGGAGAGCGUUCUAAGGGCGUUGAAGCAUGAUCGUAAGGACAUGUGGAGCGCUUAGAAGUGAGAAUGCCGGUGUGAGUAGCGAAAGACGGGUGAGAAUCCCGUCCACCGAUUGACUAAGGUUUCCAGAG
This 1042-nucleotide ribosomal RNA is filed under the name Staphylococcus aureus. RNAcentral's name for it is "partial 23S ribosomal RNA". It matches the Rfam family "Bacterial large subunit ribosomal RNA", at positions 310 to 1359 of the family's 2925-position model. The record is from RNAcentral. Lineage: Bacteria; Bacillati; Bacillota; Bacilli; Caryophanales; Staphylococcaceae.